UACGUAGGGAGCAAGCGUUGUCCGGAAUCAUUCGGCGUAAAGCGCGCGUAGGUGGCCCCAUAAGUCCGCUGUGAAAGUCAAAGGCUCAACCUUUGAAAGCCGGUGGAUACUGUGGGACUAGAGUACGGAAGAGGCGAGUGGAAUUCCUGGUGUAGCGGUGGAAUGCGCAGAUAUCAGGAGGAACACCAAUAGCGAAGGCAGCUCGCUGGGACGUUACUGACACUGAGGCGCGAAAGCGUGGGGAGCGAACAGG
This 253-nucleotide ribosomal RNA is filed under the name uncultured bacterium. RNAcentral's name for it is "partial 16S ribosomal RNA". It matches the Rfam family "Bacterial small subunit ribosomal RNA", at positions 524 to 776 of the family's 1533-position model. The record is from RNAcentral.